Small nucleolar RNA from Lathyrus oleraceus (garden pea), 107 nucleotides. The record is from RefSeq and is a predicted model, not a curated record. NCBI's taxonomy places the organism in Eukaryota, Viridiplantae, Streptophyta, Magnoliopsida, Fabales, Fabaceae.
AUCCCAUGAUGAGGAUAUUUCCUUAAAAACUCUUUGAAUCUUUCCCAAUCAUCAAACAAAUAUUCAUCAUCUCCUGUUCUAAAUAAAGUAAUCUUAUUUCUCAUAUU